ACCACACCUCUGCUUUUUUUUAAUGUAUAUGUUUUAGUCAUAGAUGGAUACAGUACCUUUAUUUUUAUUUAUUUUUAUGCAGUGAUGAAAAUCAAAUUCAGUGCCACUUGUGUGCUAAGCAAAUGCUGUACCACUGAGCUACAACCCCAACCCCAGGACGGUAGUCUUUAUAACCAGAUUCUUAUUCAUAUCCCCCACUAUGUCCUGAAGAUAGACUUCUAAAAGGGAAAUUGAUGUGUAAAGGGUGUGCACCCAUGUGGCCCUUGGCUAAGUACUGCCAUCCUGAUAUUCAUAAAGGUAGUUCUCAUUUAGUGUCCUUAAAAUGUAAGUAUGUAUAAAAAAGUAUGGAGAGGCAUGAGGAAGGUAAUCAUGCUGACUUCAUGUCACCGAGGGCAGGCCUUCAACUGUACUUUGGACCCAUUCUUGAGUCACCACCAUAGUUGGAAGAUGUGAAAGGGAUCAGAGGUAAAUCAGUCUUUCACUACAAGGGCAACCUUCAGGAAAUUUUUGGUUGUUCCUGUGUUUCAAAAGAAGACUAGGGGCCAGAAAAAGAAAGAAAGCAAGGGGGUGGGCAGAGAGAGAGAGAGAGAGAGAGAGAGAGAGAGAGAGAGAGAGGGAGAGAAGGAAGGAAGACAAUUAAAAUCACAUGUUUUAAAGUUGAUGAUUUUUAGUGAAUAUAUUGAGUUGUGUAACUAUCACCAUAAUUGACUUUUAGAUGUUUCUGUCACCUAAAAAUUCCCAUUGUGCUUCAGUGCAGUUAAAUCUGCACCCACCCCCAGUCACAGGAAGCGCAGAAUUGUGUUUUUUUCUCUAUGAAUGUUUCUGUUUUUGGCAUUCCAUGUAAAUGUAAUUAUGGUAUUUGAUCUUUUGCAUCAGGAUUCAUUCACUUCAGAUAAUAUUUUCAAGGUUCAUCCAUAUUCUAGCAUUUAGAAUUCAUUUCUGUUUAUGGCUGAGUAAAAUUCUCUUGUAAGGAUAUACUGCAUUUUGUUCAUCUAGUAACUGUCGAUGGUCUUUGGAUAAUUUCCACUCUUUGUCAAUUAUGAAUGAUGAUGCUGUGUACACCUAUUUACAAGUUUCAAUGUAGACAUGUUUUCAUCUCUCUUGAGUAUAUACCUGGAAGUGGAAUUGCUGGGCGCAUGGUGACUCCGUGUUUAUGUAUUUGAGGACCUGCUAGAAUGCUUUCAUGGCCCUGACAACCAUGAGGCAUAGUUGGUAGUUUUUCUCCAUUUUAGCUCAUUCUAUGAGUUUUGAGAAAGAGUACCACAGAGUUGAAGCAACCUCCUCUCCACAUCAUAUCUGGUACUACACGAUGCUCCCAUGACAAGUCUUCACUUGGUUACGGCAGUGUUCUUUAAGUUUCUUCAGUGCACAGUAACCGUUUUCCACAUACCAGAGAGUAUGUGGAGAAAAAGAAAGAACAUACUGGCAUCAUUCUCUUUUCACUGUGAGUCCAUGUCAUUUCUGUGUGGUGGAAUGAGUUUCCUAAUAGGGAAGUGGGAAGGGAAGAAGGGAUUUGAAUCAUAACCAUUCAUCUGAAGUCACCACCCACCCCAUUUCUUCAUGUUUCCUGAAUUUUCCUGUCCCCUUAUUUUAUCCCCCUAUUUUAUAUGAGAGAAGCAUAUUCCCUUGAGCUCCUGAAUGGUGAGAGCAACUCCUCAUGCUGUAUAUGCUGCAAAGAAUGCUGGAGCAAGACAGACAGAUCUCCCUGGGCAAGCAUUAGAUCCAAACCAGAAACUUUGGAACAUUCUUGACUCAUGGUUUCCCAUUGAUUCUGAGGUACAGCAGACAGUACAGAGCAAGACAACAUGGAUGCUGGACCAAAGAUGGGAGUCAAGAGACUGGAUACCUCCCUGACUUCAGAUUCUUGGUAUGAAAAGCAAGAAGACAAAGAGCCAAGAAGAAGCAUUUCCAGUUUGAUGGAACAGUCUGCACUGUCGCUUGCUAUAACAACCUGACAUCAUAUGGUGACCAUGACAACAUUUUCCUAGAGACUUCCAUGGUAUGGCAGUAGGAGCAGGGCCCCAGCUUCAGGUAUUUGGACUCAUCGAGUGUGUGAACAGAGUUCUUCCCGUCGCCUGCGUCUGAGGCUGGUUCCUCUAAUUAGUGCACUUUCUCAGGUGGUGACCUGAAGAGUGAAGGUGUUUUGACUUCAGAGAAAGAAAGUAGACUGAGAGGAGGGCCGUGCAGAGGUAUUUCUAAUACUGAGGACCAACGUGCGUGUCAUGGCUGCCAUAGAAUCCAGAUGUCAUUAUGGCCACUAUGGUGACUGAUGACAUUUUAAAGGAGACCCACUUGCAGUGGUUGGAGAGCAUUGUCCCACUUCCAGGUGUUUGGACUCAGUGGAGGGUGUUGGGAGAUAAAGGGAUCUGAGACCCAAAUGACCUUGAUGCUGCACUGGGACUUGGUACCCCACUGACUCAAGAGGGUGAGAGACAUGGGACCUCCUGGCCCAAGGCAGUGUGAUGACCUGUGUGGAUAUUUUGGGAUCAUAAGUGCUUGUAUGCAUUUAGGCCACUUUUUAUUCCUUUUCAUAGUUGUUGUUAGCAGAUGAGAGUUGAGUAACAGAGAAAGAUAAGGUCCUGGUGAGAAGACCAUUGUACCCUCUGGCUGUUAUCAUCACUACCCAGUUGUACCAGUGCCACUGGUCACUGACCCAAUGCUUAGCAUGGCACCAGGCACACAGUUACUCUGAGGCACAGUGACUUGUGGUUCUAUUUCUCCCUGGGAAGCUCCUUGUUGGGCUUAUAUCAAGUGUCUGAAGGAUGCAGUUUCUGAGGAUCUGAGUGGUGAUGGCUGCUGAAGCUUCUACUCCACAUCUGAAUGCUGUAGUGCUCAGGAGACCCCCACACUUCCACCCCUGGUUUAAGUGAGUUCACAGAUCUAAACAUAACCCUGUUGUAGAAUAAUGUCUACAAUGUUCACAAAAUCACAUAAAAUAGACAAGCUCUUUUAACAUCAUCAUUUGAAGAAGAAAAUGGAGUUUUGUCCCAUUGGUAGCUUAUAUGCUUUGUUGUAGCCCUUGAGGCUCAUCUAGAGAUGGCUUCUUAGUCUGAAAGCAAUAGAUCCUGCAGCUUGUGGUAGGAACUUGAUAUUUAGCAUGAAUUUUACAUAAAUUUCAUAUACUUUUUUGAUUGUACGAAUAAAAAUCCAUGAUCCCUUUCAAAUCUUCAGAUGAGUGUUGAAGUAUGCAGUUGGUUAGAGGCAUCAGGAAAUUGUAAUAUGGAAUCUUCCUUUGUAGCCAAGUUUUAUCCAUUCUUAAAUUUUUUUUAUUAUUUUUUAUUAUAUUUUUUAUUAUUAUUUAUUUUUUUAUUAUUAUUAUUAUUUUUUAUUAUUAUUGUAUACAA
This is a long non-coding RNA of Sciurus carolinensis (gray squirrel), 3344 nucleotides long. RefSeq lists it as uncharacterized. The record is from RefSeq and is a predicted model, not a curated record. The transcript has 3 exons. NCBI's taxonomy places the organism in Eukaryota, Metazoa, Chordata, Mammalia, Rodentia, Sciuridae.